This 74-nucleotide transfer RNA is filed under the name Yarrowia lipolytica PO1f. RNAcentral describes it as "tRNA-Thr (CGT) (tRNA-Thr-CGT-3-1)". It matches the Rfam family "tRNA". Rfam says of the family: Transfer RNA (tRNA) molecules are approximately 80 nucleotides in length. Their secondary structure includes four short double-helical elements and three loops (D, anti-codon, and T loops). The record is from RNAcentral. Lineage: Eukaryota; Fungi; Ascomycota; Dipodascomycetes; Dipodascales.
GACUUCGUGGCCAAGUUGGUUAAGGCGUACGACUCGUGAUCGUAAGAUCGAGAGUUCGACCCUCUCCGAGGUCG